Molecule: ribosomal RNA, 253 nt
Filed under: uncultured bacterium
Lineage: Bacteria
Description: partial 16S ribosomal RNA
Rfam family: Bacterial small subunit ribosomal RNA
Source: RNAcentral
UACGUAGGGGGCGAGCGUUGUCCGGAAUUAUUGGGCGUAAAGGGCGCGUAGGCGGCCCGGUAAGUCAAAGGUGAAAUCCCUCGGCUCAACUGAGGAACUGCCUUUGAAACUGUCGGGCUUGAGGCCGGGAGGGGGUAGCGGAAUUCCCAGUGUAGCGGUGAAAUGCGUAGAUAUUGGGAGGAACACCGGUGGCGAAGGCGGCUACCUGGACCGGAUCUGACGCUGAUGCGCGAAAGCGUGGGUAGCAAACAGG